GUACUCUCUUUGGCAGCACAUAUACUAAAAAAAGGAACAACACAGAGAAGAUUAGCAUGGGCCCCUGCACAAGGAUGACAAACAGAUUCAUGAAGCAUUCCACAUUUUU
Cercocebus atys (sooty mangabey) is the source of this 109-nucleotide small nuclear RNA. Lineage: Eukaryota; Metazoa; Chordata; Mammalia; Primates; Cercopithecidae. The record is from Ensembl.